RNAcentral lists this ribosomal RNA (557 nucleotides) under Hanseniaspora uvarum. RNAcentral's name for it is "partial large subunit ribosomal RNA". It matches the Rfam family "Eukaryotic large subunit ribosomal RNA", at positions 87 to 659 of the family's 3401-position model. The record is from RNAcentral. Lineage: Eukaryota; Fungi; Ascomycota; Saccharomycetes; Saccharomycodales; Saccharomycodaceae.
CGGCGAGUGAGCGGUAAAAGCUCAAAUUUGAAAUCUGGUACUUUCAGUGCCCGAGUUGUAAUUUGUAGAAUUUGUCUUUGAUUAGGUCCUUGUCUAUGUUCCUUGGAACAGGACGUCAUAGAGGGUGAGAAUCCCGUUUGGCGAGGAUACCUUUUCUCUGUAAGACUUUUUCGAAGAGUCGAGUUGUUUGGGAAUGCAGCUCAAAGUGGGUGGUAAAUUCCAUCUAAAGCUAAAUAUUGGCGAGAGACCGAUAGCGAACAAGUACAGUGAUGGAAAGAUGAAAAGAACUUUGAAAAGAGAGUGAAAAAGUACGUGAAAUUGUUGAAAGGGAAGGGCAUUUGAUCAGACAUGGUGUUUUUUGCAUGCACUCGCCUCUCGUGGGCUUGGGCCUCUCAAAAAUUUCACUGGGCCAACAUCAAUUCUGGCAGCAGGAUAAAUCAUUAAGAAUGUAGCUACUUCGGUAGUGUUAUAGCUUUUUGGAAUACUGUUAGCCGGGAUUGAGGACUGCGCUUCGGCAAGGAUGUUGGCAUAAUGGUUAAAUGCCGCCCGUCUUGAAA